This 468-nucleotide ribosomal RNA is filed under the name uncultured bacterium. Its description in RNAcentral is "partial 16S ribosomal RNA". It matches the Rfam family "Bacterial small subunit ribosomal RNA", at positions 28 to 507 of the family's 1533-position model. The record is from RNAcentral.
GACGAACGCUGGCGGCGUGCUUAACACAUGCAAGUCGAACGGAAAGGCCCUGCUUUUGUGGGGUGCUCGAGUGGCGAACGGGUGAGUAACACGUGAGUAACCUGCCCUUGACUUUGGGAUAACUUCAGGAAACUGGGGCUAAUACCGGAUAGGAGCUCCUGCUGCAUGGUGGGGGUUGGAAAGUUUCGGCGGUUGGGGAUGGACUCGCGGCUUAGCAGCUUGUUGGUGGGGUAGUGGCUUACCAAGGCUUUGACGGGUAGCCGGCCUGAGAGGGUGACCGGCGACAUUGGGACUGAGAUAAGGCCCAGACUCCUACGGGAGGCAGCAGUGGGGAAUAUUGCACAAUGGGCGGAAGCCUGAUGCAGCAACGCCGCGUGCGGGAUGACGGCCUUCGGGUUGUAAACCGCUUUCGCCUGUGACGAAGCGUGAGUGACGGUAAUGGGUAAAGAAGCACCGGCUAACUACGUG